This 449-nucleotide ribosomal RNA is filed under the name uncultured bacterium. RNAcentral describes it as "partial 16S ribosomal RNA". It matches the Rfam family "Bacterial small subunit ribosomal RNA", at positions 29 to 523 of the family's 1533-position model. The record is from RNAcentral.
AAUGAACGCUGGCGGCAGGCCUAACACAUGCAAGUCGAACGGAUCCUUCGGGAUUAGUGGCGGACGGGUGAGUAACGCGUGGGAACAUACCCAAAGGUACGGAAUAGCCUCGGGAAACUGGGAGUAAUACCGUAUGUGCGCGAAAGAGGAAAGAUUUAUCGCCUUUGGAUUGGCCCGCGUUGGAUUAGGUAGUUGGUGGGGUAAUGGCCUAUCAAGCCGACGAUCCAUAGCUGGUUUGAGAGGAUGAUCAGCCACACUGGGACUGAGACACGGACCAGAAUCCUACGGGAGGCAGCAGUGGGGAAUCUUAGACAAUGGGGGAAACCCUGAUCUAGCCAUGCCGCGUGAUCGAUGAAGGCCUUAGGGCUGUAAAGAUCUUUCAGGUGGGAAGAUAAUGACUGUACCACCAGAAGAAGCCCCGGCUAACUCCGUGCCAGCCGCCGCCGUAA